GGUGUAGGCGCAGCGAAAGCGAGUCUUAAUAGGGCGUUUAGUCGCUGGGUAUAGACCCGAAACCGGGCGAUCUAUCCAUGAGCAGGUUGAAGGUUAGGUAACACUGACUGGAGGACCGAACCCACUCCCGUUGAAAAGGUAGGGGAUGACUUGUGGAUCGGAGUGAAAGGCUAAUCAAGCUCGGAGAUAGCUGGUUCUCCUCGAAAGCUAUUUAGGUAGCGCCUCAUGUAUCACUCUGGGGGGUAGAGCACUGUUUCGGCUAGGGGGUCAUCCCGACUUACCAAACCGAUGCAAACUCCGAAUACCCAGAAGUGCCGAGCAUGGGAGACACACGGCGGGUGCUAACGUCCGUCGUGAAAAGGGAAACAACCCAGACCGCCAGCUAAGGUCCCAAAGUUGUGGUUAAGUGGUAAACGAUGUGGGAAGGCUUAGACAGCUAGGAGGUUGGCUUAGAAGCAGCCAUCCUUUAAAGAAAGCGUAACAGCUCACUGGUCUAAAUAAGGGUUCUUGCGGCGAAAAUGUAUCGGGGCUAAAGCCAUGCACCGAAACUGCGGGGUUCUUCGGAACCGGUAGCGGAGCGUUCUGUAAGCUGAUGAAGGGUAACCGCGAGGAAGCCUGGAGGUAUCAGAAGUGAGAAUGCUGACAUGAGUAACGACAAAGAGUGUGAGAGACA
Molecule: ribosomal RNA, 673 nt
Filed under: Strombidium inclinatum
Lineage: Eukaryota; Ciliophora; Spirotrichea; Strombidiidae
Description: partial Bacterial large subunit ribosomal RNA
Rfam family: Bacterial large subunit ribosomal RNA
Source: RNAcentral